UACGGGGGGUGCAAGCGUUGUUCGGAAUUAUUGGGCGUAAAGAGCGUGUAGGCGGCCGGAUGUGUCAGAUGUGAAAGCCCUGGGCUUAACCCAGGAAGUGCAUUUGAAACUGUCCGGCUUGAGUAGGGGAGAGGGAAGUGGAAUUCCUGGUGUAGAGGUGAAAUUCGUAGAUAUCAGGAGGAACACCGGUGGCGAAGGCGACUUCCUGGCCCUAUACUGACGCUGAGACGCGAGAGCGUGGGUAGCAAACAGG
RNAcentral lists this ribosomal RNA (253 nucleotides) under uncultured bacterium. RNAcentral's name for it is "partial 16S ribosomal RNA". It matches the Rfam family "Bacterial small subunit ribosomal RNA", at positions 524 to 776 of the family's 1533-position model. RNAcentral also lists the same sequence under 1 other name. The record is from RNAcentral.